UAUAUAGAAAACUGGGAAGUGUUAUGCAUGUACAAACUAUUGUAUUUGCUGUCGAAUGUAAAACAUUAAUUCCCCAAAAAAUAAAUUAAAAAAAAUAAUAAAUAAAAUAAAUAAGGUGUCGGGCAGUAGCGCAGUGGGUUAAGCGCACAUGGCACAAAGCACUAGGACCAGCAUAGGGAUCCCUGUUCAAGCCCCCUGCUCCCCAUCUGCAGGGGGUCGCUUCACAAGCAGUGAAGUAAGUCUGCAAGUAUUUAUCUUUCUUUUUUUUUAAAGAAUUUAUUUAUUCAUGAGAAAGAGGAGAGAAAGAACCAGACAUCAAUCUGGUACAUGUACUGCUGGGGAUCAAACUCGAGACCUCAUGAUUGAGAAUCCAGUGCUUUAUCCACUGCACCACCUCCCCGACCACGUGUCGAUCUUUCUCUCCCUUUCUCUGUCUUCCCUUCCUCUCUGUCCUAUCCAACAGCAAUAAUAAUAACAACAGCAAUGACAAUAAACAACAAGGGCAACACAGGGGGGGAAAGUUCAUGAAUGUGUACUUUUAAAAGAUAAAUAUAAAAAAUUCAUUAUUAAAAAAAAAAGUUUAACAGGCAGUUACAAUGCCUGGAAAUGUGUGCAAGCAGGAAAUGGUCCCAGGAGAGCAUUAGUAAGGCGAUCUAGCUCAACCUAGAGGCUUUCUGGAAGAAAGAGUAUAGACUAUCUUGAAAGAUAAAUGGGGUUAGUCGAGCGUCGGAACUGCCUGUGCUGAGGAGAAGAAUGGCCUGGCCUCUGGGAAAAGUUGAAAUUGAUUCAGGUUGGCUGAGCAGAUGCUUGUGUUGUUUAAGAGAGAAAAAAGACAAUAUCAAGGUCAAGCCCAAGUAUCCUAGCAGCUUCAGUAAGACAGUGGGGUGGAAGCAUUGGCGGUGACACAGAGAUCUUCAUAUUCUAGCAGAAAUCCAUAUAGUGGCAGGGGCCAGUCUAUAGGAUGGGAAGUGGAGGGGGAUGUUUCUACACAGGUGGGAUGUGCUGGCAGCACUGACCAAGAUGGCAGCAGAUAUAUGAAGAAGUCAGAAUCAACAUCUCAAAGAUGAGAAAGAAGGCUAAUGAAAUAACUCCAUCGACUAGUGCACUGCUUUGCCCUGUGUGUGCAACCCAGGUUUGAGCCCAGGCCCCAUGACAGUGAAGGAAGCUUUGGUGCUGUGGUCUCUUUCACUCUCUUUCUUUGCCUCUGUCUGAAAAAAAGAAAAAGUAGGGGCUACACAUCCAGUUAAGCACACAUAGUACUAAGUGCAAGGGCCCAUGCAAGAAUUCAGAUUCGAGCCUGCAGCUCUCCACCUGCUUGGGGGGGGGGGGCACACGCUUCACAAGUGGUGAAGCAGAUCUACAAGUAUCUAUCUUUCUCCCUCUGUAUCUCACCCUUACCUCUCAAUUUCUUUCUGUCUUAUCCAAUAAAAUGGUGACCAUGGAGGAAAAAAAAAAAAGAAAAGAAAAAGAAAGAAAGAAGGAAAGAAAGAAAAGAAAAAGUGGAGGUCGGGCAGUAGCACAGCAGGUUAAGCUCACGUGGCGCAAAGCACAAGGACUGACUUAAGGAUCCCUGUUCGAGCCCCCAGCCCCCCACCUGCAGGGGAGUUGCCUCACAGGCGGUGAAGCAGGUCUGCAGGUGUCUUUCUCUCCCCCUUCUGUCUUUCCCUCCUCUCUCCAUUUCUCUCUGUCCUGUCCAACAACGAUGGCAUCAAUAACAACAACAGUAAAAACAACAAGGGCAACAAAAGGGAAAAUAAAUAUAAAAAAAUUAAAAAAGAAAAAGUGGUGGUCUGGGAAGAUAAUACGUUGGCUAUGCAAAACACCUUCAUGCCUGAGGCUCAAAGGUUGUAAACUCAAUCCCUGGCACUACCAUAAUCCAAAACUGAACAGUGCUCUGGCAAAGCAAGAAUAAGUAAAAGAGGAAGGAAGAGAGGGAGUAACAAGAUGGGAUUGGGUGACCGGGAAGGUGGUGCAGUGGUGGAGCUCUGAGCUUACAAACAUGAGGUCCUGAAUUAAAUCCCUGGGACUGCAUAUGCCAGAAUUCUGCUCUGGCCUCUCUCCACCCCUUGGCCCAUGAAGUAAGUAAAGUAAAUCUUAAAAAUAAAUAGUAGAACUUAAAAAAAA
Erinaceus europaeus (western European hedgehog) is the source of this 2124-nucleotide long non-coding RNA. RefSeq lists it as uncharacterized. The transcript is spliced from 2 exons. Lineage: Eukaryota; Metazoa; Chordata; Mammalia; Eulipotyphla; Erinaceidae. The record is from RefSeq and is a predicted model, not a curated record.